This is an RNA transcript of Musa acuminata subsp. malaccensis (wild Malaysian banana), 2872 nucleotides long. RefSeq lists it as uncharacterized. Lineage: Eukaryota; Viridiplantae; Streptophyta; Magnoliopsida; Zingiberales; Musaceae. The record is from RefSeq and is a predicted model, not a curated record.
UCGAAAAGGGUAAACAGGGCCACAGCUUUAAGGGACACAUGUUCGCCGUCGCUCGAGGGUCUCUGUCGUCCUUGCCCGCUCUCUGGUCUCCGUUCUCAGCCACAACCUCGAGAAGGCUGCCUAAAGAUCUCGAGCUCGGAAAAAUUCUCUCUUCCACAUAAAUUUGGACCAGCCCCCACCGCCACCCACCAUAGAGGAACCCUAGCGGUUAUCAGUCCCCUGGCGCCGUGGUGGUUGAUGGAUUGCCUCCACCAUGGCGCUGGCCUUCUCCCUGCGCCAUCACCCCCGUAUCGCUUCCCCUCUCCGCCCCUCACUUCCUCGUCCCAGGCCCCGCCGGCUUCCCUUCUGUGUUGCCUGCGUGAGGCCCUUGGCUUCUCCGGCUCCGGGGCAGGGUGAGGCGGCUCGCGGCGGGUCGGCCUUGGUGUGGUUCAAGAAUGAUCUCCGCGUUGAUGAUCACCCUGGCCUCGUGGCCGCCGUGGCUAAGCACGAGACGGUCGUCCCGCUUUACGUCUUCGAUCACCGGAUUUUGUCCGAUCUUUCUGAUGAAAUGAGAGAGCUACUUCUUUUCUCUGUGAAAGAACUCAAGGAGCUGCUUAAGGGUCAAGGAUCUGAUCUGCUUCUUGGCUUUGGAAGCACUGAAGAUGUCAUAUUAGAACUUGUAAAUAAGGUAAAGCCGAGUCACAUAUAUGCAGAAGAGGAGGUAGAAUAUAAUCUUCGUAAGCUGGCCACUACCGUCGAAUCAUCUUUAUCUGCAGUACCAUUCUCAUGGGGAAACCCUGAAUUUAUCUUUUGGAGGACUCCCUUUUAUGAUUUUAAGAAUUUAAAGGAAUUAUCUGCAUCAUACCAUGAGUUUACAAAACUGAAGCUGUCUAUAUCUCUUCCAAUGCCAGCUCCGGCCAUACCUGUUUUGAGCAUGGAGUUGAAAACUAGUGCAUUACCGUCUCUUGUUGAUGUAAAGAACUAUCUGGAUGGUGCACCUUGUCAGUUAGAUGACAGCUGGAUUUCUCUUAAGAAAGCUUCACCUAUGUCCAUAUUAAAAAGGAAUAGGAAUCAAAAUAUUAUGAAAACUGAUCCUGCUGAAAGGGGCGAAUAUUAUGAUGAAAAGGGAAAAGAAACCUCAUCGACUUUCAACAAUGUGCGAAGUACAAAAAUUUCAAAUUCCAUGUUUGUGUCACAAGAGGGGAGUCUGGUGAAAGGUGGAACAAACACUGUGUUAAAUGCUCUCGCUGCUUAUUUGCGAUAUUUAGAAGGAACAGCAAGGGAUGAUUGGCAAGAGUUGCAUGACAAGUUACGGAGAGCUGAAAGAAGGAAGGGAGCCUCAUUCAAUGCGUUGUUUGGUUCUGCCCUUUACUUUGGAACUAUAUCUCGAAGGAGAGUGUACUAUGAAGCUAUAAAGUAUGAGAAAGAACGCAAUGGAGGCUUUCUAUCACCAUUUGGAUAUUCAGCACCUACAGUUGCAGCAGCAGUUGAUGCUGUUUGUUCCAUGGAGUGGUAUUCGGUUCUGGCUUUGAAAAGCCAAAUAUGCAAUGAAGGAGUGUACCCCGUUUGGAUUUGGAGAUGGAAAGGUCAUUUUGUUCAGUACACAGCUGUUGGCAACGAAGGACCUGCAGCUCUUCUUGUUCAUGGUUUUGGAGCUUUCCUGGAGCAUUUCCGUGGCAACAUAUCUACCAUUGCUGAUGGUGGCAAUCGGGUUUGGGCUAUUUCGCUGUUGGGUUUCGGGAAGUCAGAGAAACCAAAUGUCAUAUAUACUGAACUUUUGUGGGCAGAGUUGUUGAGAGAUUUUAUUGUUGAUGUUGUGAGAGAACCUGUUCAUCUCGUUGGCAACUCGUUAGGUGGUUAUUUUGUUGCUACAGUUGCAGGUCUAUGGCCUUCUCUGGUGAAGUCUUUGGUUCUUAUUAACACAGCUGGUUCGAUUGUUCCCACCGUUUCGUCUAUUCCUUCAGUUGAUGUAAAGCUGAUUCAGGAAAGGAAAAUAUCUGGGCUUGCUUGGUUGCAGGCACAACUGCUGCUGCUGUUCCUGAGGUCAACAGCUGGCAAGUUCAUUGAGAAGUGUUACCCAACUAACGUAGAGCGGGUGGACGGUUGGCUUCUUGGUGAAAUUCUCAGGGCUUCAUUUGAUCCCGGUGCAGCCAUUGUUAUGGAAAGUAUCGUGAGCUUUGAUUUGUCUAUUCCUCUUAAUUACCUACUUGGCUCCUUUGGAGGAGAGGUAUUGAUUAUACAAGGGAUGAAAGACCCACUGACCAAAUCCAAAGCAUUCUUGUCCAUGGUCAGGGAGCACUGCAACAAGGUCACAGUAAGUGAAUUGGAUGCAGGUCACUGCCCCCAUGAUGAGGUGCCACAGAAAGUGAAUUCAACAUUAAGAGAAUGGAUAACCAGAGUUGAAAGCAGUCUAUACAUCUUGGAGAGAGCUUAAUCUUCUGUACUGAACAUUCCUACACAGUUAACUCUCUUUUUCUUCCGAGAAACUCAAGAGAAAGAAAUAUAUAUAUCACCUUACAGUAAAAAGCCCUCCUAUUUGAAAAUGAACAGAGUUUGGCAACAGAUGCCUCUGCUCAUCCAACUUCAUCUAAUUGAGGCGUUCCGAUUUCCACGUUCAAAUGCAACCUUGCAUGCAACCUUGAUAUCUGGAUUUGAUUAUGAACUCGCUGGUGAUUCCUCUUCUGUAUCAGUUCAAAUGCAACCUUGCUGAGGACCGGCCGCGGACCGAGAAUUAAUAUCCGACCAAGCAUACGGCUUCUUAUUCCCGCAGGAAAUGUAGACGUGACUGUCUUCUAAGGUUGUAGAAAGCUAACUUUACAGACUACAUUAAGCUGCCAAUUGCAAACCACGUAACCAAAUAAAUAUCACGGAAAUGAAUCCAUUCGGCAUCCAA